UUUAUCCUGUGACAGCGUGUCAAAAGGGGAAGUAAGAAAGGCUUUUAUCAGAAAGGCUUUCUUGCAGAAAUUCGGAAGUCAUUUUGCUGAAAGAACUCGGAGGAGUGCUUGAUGACGCCAUUGAUCCUUCUGAGAUGGAAUCUAAAAAUAACAGAAAUGAAUCAAUCCAUAUGGCUUGCAAGAAUAACAUCUGGCUCACAACAGAAACUAAAUCAUUCAUGAUUUAGAAACUGGACUGAACAAGCAAAACGGAAAGCUCGAGACAGUGUUUACAAUGUGAUGCAUUGGUUGCAUCAACAAUACUUCCGGCAGAACCUAGUACCAUUUUUUGGAAAAUGCUGAAUGUAUUUUACAAGUCAAGUAAGAGGCAUAAAUAGUAGGCCUGCUAGGAAGUGUUUCUGUUGUCAUAAGUGUGCACUUGUGAAUGUAAGCACAGGUGCUUCCUCAACACCUCUCCCUCUACAGACUGUGGUCUUUGUCCACAGUGUGCUUAGAUGGUGAAUUCUUAGAGGGAGUUGGUGUGCCAUGCAAAGAAAAAAAAAAGAACGUGUCCAUUUUUUGUCUUUUAUUUAUUUAUUUAUUUAUUUUAACACAUUGAAGGUUCUCACCCAGCUCUACAUGCUGCAAUUUAAUUUAAUUUUUCAAAUUAAACAAGUGGUGCGGUGAGUUUCACUGUCACCUCGCAGCAA
Molecule: long non-coding RNA, 689 nt
Organism: Anguilla anguilla (European eel)
Lineage: Eukaryota; Metazoa; Chordata; Actinopteri; Anguilliformes; Anguillidae
Exons: 2
Source: RefSeq, a predicted model, not a curated record